RNAcentral lists this long non-coding RNA (1294 nucleotides) under Homo sapiens (human). RNAcentral's name for it is "HSALNT0144226". The record is from RNAcentral. Lineage: Eukaryota; Metazoa; Chordata; Mammalia; Primates; Hominidae.
GUCAUGUGGCUGCGCGGGGCUCGGAUCCCAUGGCUCUUCUGUGACGACCUGCAGGGCCAGUUCCUUCACUCACCGAGAGUUCUUAAGGCCUCUCUGAGUCAGAGGACUCCUACUUAAUACCGGUUUCGGCCCGCUGACCUAUUAUUAUUUUUUUCCCCUCUGAGCAUCCGGAAAGGGCUGGCGUGGUGCAGCGGCAGGCUCCUGGCAGCUACAUGGGCCCCAGCCCUUGGGGAGUGAGUUGGCGCUUCCUUUGCCAGCACAAGCCCUACAUGGAGGAGCCCUUUUAUUUUGCUGUCAGGGCAAUGAGACCCCCCACCCAACACAUACACACUCCACUCUACCAACCCGCACUCCUCCCCAGCAUCCCCAUUCCCAUCCCCCAGUCAACAGCUUCAUCUUUAUUUUGGCAAAUAUGAUGGACACAAGAGGCCAGCUGGGAAGGGAAACCAAGGCCCUAAGAGCUGCCCAGGCCUGAGGAGCGGCAGAUGGAGAUGCCUGGGUGUCUGAGUGCAGGAGCUUCAAGCUGCCUGUAUCUCCAGCACCCAGUCACCUGCUGUCCCAUCUGGUUGCCCCCCUGAAUCCCAUCUGUGCCCUUUGCUCUAUCUCGAAAGAGACCUGGGCCUGCAAGAGGAAGAGAAUCGCCUGAGGACACAGGAGCGGGGACGGGAGCCAGGCUUUGAGUCAGUCCUCCCUCUCCUGGGCAAGCCAUGGAUCAUCCUGCCCAGCACUUCUCGUCCUUGACGGCUGAGUUCUGAAGGGAGGAAGGCAAGACCCGAAGAGACAGAUGGACACUCCCAGGAUGACACAGUUCACAGCAAGGCCAAGAUGCAAAUUAAUCUCCUAACUCUCAUUACAACAGCUUCUACUUUUGCCUCUUCUGGGUUCUUUCAUUCACUCAACAGACAUUUGCAGAGUUAGCUCAUAGUCUCUCUUAAGUUUUAGAUAUUUGAAGAUAAGCGUUAAAAGUCCCUAUGAUUGGGGAACCCACAGCUUAUGGGAGAGGCAAGUAUUAGAGGUGAUUUACUACAACUCGAGGGAUUUACUGCAACUCGAGGGAUUUACUACGCAAAGUGCUGGGCAUUCCAAGGAGGCAUGGAAGCUCUCUGAACACCAGGGCAGUAACUGCUCUGCCCAGGAGAGUGGGGUCCACUCUUGCACCUUGAAGGACCAGGGAUGAGGAAAGUGGUUCAGAUGAAUUUCUGAAUUAGUCUGACUAGGCUCUGAACCUGGCGCACAAUAAAUGUAGUAAAUAUUGAUGCAAUAAAUAAAGCCCUUGCAAGUCAACAGACAAAAC